GAUGAACGCUAGCGGGAGGCUUAACACAUGCAAGUCGAGGGGCAUCACGAGGUAGCAAUACCUUGGUGGCGACCGGCGCACGGGUGAGUAACACGUAUGCAACCUUCCCUGUACAGGGGGAUAACCCGGAGAAAUUCGGACUAAUACCCCAUGAUGAUAUUUAUGGGCAUCCAUUAAUAUUUAAAGCUCUGGCGGUACAGGAUGGGCAUGCGCGACAUUAGCUAGUUGGUAAGGUAACGGCUUACCAAGGCGACGAUGUUUAGGGGACCUGAGAGGGUUGUCCCCCACACUGGUACUGAGACACGGACCAGACUCCUACGGGAGGCAGCAGUGAGGAAUAUUGGUCAAUGGGCGCAAGCCUGAACCAGCCAUCCCGCGUGAAGGAAGAAUGCGCUACGCGUUGUAAACUUCUUUUCCAGGGGGAGAAUAAUCCUGUCGUGACAGGACUUGACGGUACUCUGGGAAUAAGCAUCGGCUAACUCCGUG
This 486-nucleotide ribosomal RNA is filed under the name uncultured bacterium. RNAcentral's name for it is "bacterial SSU rRNA". It matches the Rfam family "Bacterial small subunit ribosomal RNA", at positions 28 to 507 of the family's 1533-position model. The record is from RNAcentral.